UACAGAGGUCUCAAGCGUUGUUCGGAUUCAUUGGGCGUAAAGGGUGCGCAGGUGGCGAGGCAAGUCGGAUGUGAAAUCCCGGGGCUCAACCCCGGAACUGCAUUCGAUACUGCCUUGCUAGAGUGCUGGAGAGGAGAUGGAAUUUACGGUGUAGCAGUGAAAUGCGUAGAUAUCGUAAGGAAGACCAGUGGCGAAGGCGGAUCUCUGGACAGCUACUGACACUGAGGCACGAAGGCCAGGGGAGCAAACGGG
Molecule: ribosomal RNA, 252 nt
Filed under: uncultured bacterium
Lineage: Bacteria
Description: partial 16S ribosomal RNA
Rfam family: Bacterial small subunit ribosomal RNA
Source: RNAcentral